Aedes albopictus (Asian tiger mosquito) is the source of this 7950-nucleotide long non-coding RNA. RefSeq lists it as uncharacterized. NCBI's taxonomy places the organism in Eukaryota, Metazoa, Arthropoda, Insecta, Diptera, Culicidae. The transcript is spliced from 2 exons. The record is from RefSeq and is a predicted model, not a curated record.
AUGGAAAAGUAACCGUUAGUGUUAAUACGUAAUUUUCAUCAUAUUAUUCAGUGCUGUGUAAUGUUAAAUUUUUGGGUUAGCUCCCUAUCAUAAAUAUAAUAAAUAAAUGAAAAUAGGCGAACCAGCGACCAGGCUGAAAGCCUCUCAAAUACGGACAAAAAAAUAAAUGAAUAAUUGUAAAUAAUUAUAAUAAAAUAAGUAUACUCUCCGGAAAUUCUAGACAAUAAAAAAUUCCAUUCUCCCACUCGAUCAUUAACCCUUUAUAAGGCCGAGAAAACCAAACGAGGUGUAAACGCCUAUUAUUAUGGAAAUUAUUAUAUGCAUGAUUACAUGUACAAAACCAUUUUUGUUUAAAAGAAAUACUCAAAAAUUUAGGUGACAAUAUAGUUGCCACUGCCCGUUUAGGCCACCAGCGUUGGUGGCAAUAUUCUUGCCACUGCCCGUUUGGGGUACUUUUCUUCUCAAGACUGCGACAAACAGUUUGAAAAAAGAUUUUGAAGUGAAAAAAGACUACACCCAUCGCUUAAUUCAGUUCAUGUAAACCUGUAAUUUGAUUAUUUCUUAAAAUAUUUAUUAAAUCGUCUGUUUUACAGUAAGUCUUACAAAGGGAUAAGGUAUAGAAACUUGUUUUACAUAAACAGUCAUCGAACAAAUUAUGCAUUGAAAUAAAAGAGUUUGUACAAUUUUUCACCAUAUAUAAACUAAAAAAAUAUACAAGCGAAUCAAAAUAGGGUUCAUCUUGCAACUGGCUUCUUUAGCGGGGUUGAAAUAAUUCCAUAUUCCGAAUCUGCUUGUCAAACUGAGCCGAAAUCCAAAUUUUCAUAAAUUUUGGUGCUCGGGAACCUAUUUAAAAACCAAUUCGAAGUUUAUAUGGGAGUGAUUUAUCGAAUCACUCCUCGCCGCAAUUUGGUACUGGGUGGAGCUGUCAGGCAGUUGCACAGCUAUCAAAAGGUGAUUUCAAGAAAUCUCUUAGAAAUUGAUUUUAGGUAUCAAAAUGGAGUUCUAAAAAUCUGAAGAAAAUCAUAGUCGCUCAUAAAAAGGUGCUGUUUCGUAUAAAAAUAAAAAAAUCAUUAUUUUGUUCAAAAUUUAAAAACCCAAUUGUGGUUGCCAGAUUCAACCAAGGUUCAGAAAGAAAUUGAUUUAAGUAAAUCAUGAUCUGACUUUUUGAAAUGACUAUUUCAAAUUUCUUUGAAAAAAAAAUGCAUAUUUGUAACAAUUUUCUAUUUUUGUUGUGCUUUUUAUAUAGGCUUAUUUUUCUGUACAUUCGGGGAAGGGAUCAUUAUGAUUUUUUUUAUCACAAUAACGGAAUGUGCAUUAACCUUCUUAGCAGCACUACUCCCAACGAUUUUAUGUCCAAACACCAUUCCCCUAAAACGAAACGGUUGGUACGGUUGUCCCCGUUUCUUCCUUCAUUCAAUUCAAAAUGAUUUGUGAAUCAUGUUAUUCAUAAGUGGAUAAUAUGAUAGCCUUACAUUUUUUGAAUUAUCUUCCAACCCAUUAGUCUGCACAGUAGGCUUGGCCGUUUUAUUAUUUGUGUCACAUCAUCUCCGAUAUGCUGCAAAUGUUAAUGCUGACAAGAAAAUAUCAAAAGAAAUAUUUAGUAUUUUUAGGAUGCUUUUCAAUACUGGCUGUGCAAGCACUAGAAUAGUAUAGAAUAGAAUAGAACAGUCAUCGAACAAAUAAUGCCAUAAAUGGGCCUUUUAACCCUUUAUAAGGCCGAGAUAACUGUCGUCGCGGUUGAAACUCGAAGUUUCCUCACACCCGACAAUCGAAUUUCCUCAAAAUCCAUACGUGAAACCUAACGUCGGACGUAGUGCGCUGGACAGCGGACCUGGCCCUCUAUCCAGCGCAUUGUGCCCGACGUACGUCCGACACACGGUUUAGAAGAAAAAUCGAUUUUCGCGUGUCAAAAAUUCCGAUUUUCAACUGCACGAACAAUAUACACUGCUUAUAAAUUAAGCUCAAGUAAACCUGUAAUUUGAUUAUUUCUUAAAAUAUUUACUAAAUCAUCGGUUUUACAGUAAGUUUGAGCUUAUUUUCUCCAAGCAGUCUAAUUUGUGUUUUUUCUGUGUACAAACAGCUCCCAAAUUGCAAUUAAAUGUCUUUAUGCAAUUCAGUAUCAUAAUUUCUAUUUUGUACUACCCAUUUCAGUAUCAUAAUGACCUAUUUUUCCGUACCGGUUCAUUAUGCAACUGAAAUGAGUUGCAUAAUGAAAAAUAGUUACAUAAUGUUCAUAAUGCAACUCAUUUGAGUUGGAUUAUGAAUAUUAUGCAACUCAAAUGAGUUGCAUUAUGAAAAAAAUCAUUGCAUAAAAUGUUGUAUGGAACUCGUUGCAAAACUUGAUUUUUCAGCACUCUUCGUAUUUAUCCAACUCGGCAUGCCUCGUCGGAUAAAUGUACGACUCGUGCUGAAAAAAUCAACUUUUUGCAACUCGUUACAUAAAUAACUAUUUCAGUACCAAAUACCACGUGUUUUUAGUAAUCUCAAUUUUGUGCAAACCAAAAAAGAAAUUCGAAGUAGGUUGUUAUCGAGCCGAAAAAAAUAAAAAUAGUAGGUGGCAAUAUAGUUGCCACUGAUUUAUAAAGAGUUGAAUAUGAUAAUGUCUUGUUAACAUGAACAUAGCAACAAAGUUGAUGUAACUAUGAGUAGAAACAUGCUUAACGAAGCUUUUUAUGCAAGAAUUCAUACGCAACUUAGGUUAAUAAAUCGUGAUGGGGCUGCUAUCGCAAAGAUUCCAUGCUGCUGUUAGUGGUGAAUAUAAAACUUUCCUAAAUAAAUAUUUAUGCGUAUACACCACUGACUGUAGCAACUUGUUGCUUAAGUAUCGCUAGUGUUCUCAACGCUAAAAGUAUUUGACUUCUCACACAGCAUUUGAAAGAAAAUUUGCUCUAGUUUAGAUCUCUGUUCUCUGUGCCUUUUAUAAGGCAAUGGCAUCUAUGCUACCUAGAAUUUUUAUUUGUUUGUUCUUGAUAACCACUUCAAACUUUUUUUUUAGUAUACUCUUUUUUGUCUCUGUUCGGGGCAUAACCACUGCGACCAGUAUUUGAUCUAUUGUGAUAUAUCACUAUUGAGAAGUUAUAAAGUAUUAAGUUUUGUUACAGUAGCCAUUUUUAACUUAAUCGCAAGGAAAGAUUCUUAUUGAUAGGUUUCGCAAUUAACACGCCCUUUUCAGUCAAAAUUCCUUAACGAAAAAGUCGUAAAAUGAUACCGAUAUUGACCAUGCAAAAGAACUAGUCUUUAUUGUCUUAAACCAGUGAACAUCGAAUUAAAGAUUAGGAAUACUAACCCAUUUUUGCUUGUUUCAAGAUCCAUCUCGGCCAGAACCAAACCGAAACCUAUCCUUUUUGCCAAGCUUGUAAUAAGGACUAAAGUUUUUCAUUUAAUAACUAAAAUAUGCUGUUACAGCACAAACCAAUCAACUCACCUCGAAUGGAGGUAAUGAACACAGUGUCCAAUAAGUUACAAAAUACAAAUUUAUAUUUUUUUUUCACAUCUGUGAUUCAUAUUUUCAAAAGGAAUACAUGUGUUGAAGCUAGUGUUGAAGGGUCAUUUUAUACUAAAUAAAUAAAGCAUACGGUAGCCUAGUAGUACACUUCCGUUUUCUGAAAUUCGUUUGCUCCGGCACACAAGAAAAAUGUUCGAAAAGUUUUUCAUUCUACACUAGCUUCAUAAGGUUAAAUUUUGAGUUUUUAUCUCAAGUAUUGUACCAAAUGGAUAUACUAAGGCUAAAACAAUAAAUUUUAGUGAUGAUGUGGUAAGGAAUUUGCAAGUAAGCUGAACUUAGGCUGGUUCUCUUAAAAUGACCGUAAUAGGUAUUUAAGUUAAACAUCAUAAAACGUUAGUUUUGGACAAAAUUUACCACAAUAGGGAUACAAGCAUGUUUCAGAAGUGAGAAUGGCGGGGAUCAACAAGAUAAGAUGCAGUCAUACUUCUUUAACAUAACGAAUCUCAUUAAAACAUGCAAAGAGACAUUUUUGUGCUCCAUAGAAUGAAAAAAAAGACACUACACCGUCUUCAGCCAGAGGCUGCUCAGACUGAACAUUACCAACACGAGACAACGGACAACACACAUAACACCCAGUGGCCCAAUGGAGAAUUUUCCGUUUGACGAAAAGUUUUCCCCGACUGGAGCGGGAAUCUAACCCGCACUCCGAGGCUUACGAAACGCCUAGAAGAUUGACGCCGCUAACCGCACGGCCACGAAGUCCACAUGAACCUAUCAAUCCUACAUCAAGAAAAAAAAAUGAUUGGUCAGCCGCAAUCAGUUGAAACUAUUUAAUUCACAAAACAGUGUUUUUAGGAGAAAAUGGGAAAAAAUGGACACUUACAUUCAAUUCCGGUAAAUGAAACUAUCACCAAUCGAUUCCUUGACUUUUUUUCCAUUCGGAAAAGAUAGACUUCAAAGAUCGCAGUCAUUCGCAAUAAUUAGGUGCCUUUUUGGGUCGGUUAUUCCCCACUGUGCAGCGUGGGUAUUAUGAUUUUUUGCUUAAUUUUAUGCUGUUUGAGCAAAAGUUGGGGUAACUGUGUUGUUGUAUAAUUUAUUUCUUGCAACUUCAACAACACAGUUACCCAAACUUUUGCUCAAACUGCAUAAAAUAAGGAAAGAAAUCUGUUGUUGUGUUGUUGUUUUCUCAAUUUCUUGCAACAUAAACAACAUAGUUAUCCAAAGUUUUGUUCAAACAGCAUCAAAUUAGGUAAAGAAUCAUAAUACCCACGCUUUUUGAACCAUUUCAUUGCAGAAACGGAGAAUUGACCUUCUCACCAUACUAAAAUUAUUCAGCUCAUUACUACAAAUCUAGUACUACACCGAACGUGUCCCAUAGAACUGCGAUUUUGUGAAGAACCGGCUGUUGCUAUACACUCAGGCAACUGAACAUACGAAUUUCUAAAAGUUGCAAGAAAUAAAUAAUACAACACAGUUACCCAAACUUUUGCUCAAACAGCAUCAAAAUAGGCAAGAAACCAUAUAAUCAACGUUGUUUGCACCAUUUCAUUGCAGAAAUGGAGAACUGAUCAUUUCACCAUACAAAAAUCCAGCUCGCUACUUUCAAUCUAGUACUUCACUGAUUGCGUCCUAUUCAGCAGCAAGAAAUCAUAACACAACAUUAUGAAAUCAUAAUCAAGCUCUGAUGAAUUCAUUAACACACGUUAUGGUUUCAGAAGGUGUCAUUCGAAAUCAAGAGAGAACAUUAUGAGUUUCAUAAUGUGACACAAUGAAUUCAUAUGGGCUUGUCUAUGAUUUCAUAAUGCAGUUUUUAGGAUACCGGCAACAGAAUCUGUUCCGUUUUCACAUGUGUAUGAGUACUUACGAAUAUAUGUAUCGUAUGUUUAAGUUAUGGCUAAUUUUCAUAAUGCGUUUUUAUGAAUUCCUUAUGGUUAUUUGUUAUUAAACGUUCGGUGAAGUACCAGAAUUGAAGUAAUGAGCUGAAUUUUUGUAUGGUGAGAAAGCCAAUGGGGCACAUUCGGUGUAGUACUAGAUUUGUAGUAAUGAGCUGAAUUUUAGUAUGGUGAGAAGGUCAAUUCUCCGUUUCUGCAAUGAAAUGGUGCAAAAAGCGUGGGUAUUAUGAUUCCUUGCCUAAUUUGAUGCUGUUUGAGCAAAACUUUGGAUAACUAUGUUGUUUAUGUUGCAAUAAAUGGAGAAAACAACAACACUGUUGCCCAAAGUUUUGCUCAAACAGCAUCUUUGCAGAAACGGAGAAUUAACCUUCUCACCAUACUAAAAUUCAGCUCAUUACUACAAAUCUAGUACUUCACCGAUCUGUCCUAUUCUCCGUUUCUGCAAUGAAAUGGAUUAAAAUGCGUGGGUAUUAUGAUUCCUUGCUUAAUUUGAUGAUGUUUGAGCAAAACUGUGGGUAACCCUGUUGUUGUUUUCUCCAUUUCUUGUAACGUAAACAACACAGUUACCCAAAGUUUUGCUCAAACAGCAUCAAAUUAGGCAAGGAAUCAUAAUUCCCACGCUUUUUAAACCACUUCAUUGCAGCAACGGAGAACUGACCUUCUCACCAUACAAAAAUUCAGCUCAUUACUUCAAUUCUAGAAUUUCACCGAACGUGUCCUAUUGCAUAUGCGUAGAAUCUCGAGGCAGCCAUGUCGCAUGAAAGUGAGCUCUACACUGAGAAAAAAGUAUAGUAAUGCGAACCACGGUAUUGUGCUUAAUUUUACCAUGCCGAAAUAUCGUAAACACAACCAAAUAUUUUUUUACAUCCACCUUGGGCAUAGAGAGUAUCUUCGUGCCUGCCACACGACAUACACAUGCAAAAUAAUCAUUGGCAGAGGAAGCUCUCAGUUAAUAACUGUGGAAGUGCUCAUAGAACACUAAGCUGAGAAGCAGGCUUUGUCCCAGUGAGGACGUUACGCCAAGAAGAGGAGGAGGACAAAUCAAUAAAAAUUACCAUGCUGCGUAAUAACUGUAACAUAAUGAGUUUCACAAUAUACAUAUUCAGCAGUACUAUACGAUGUUUACAAUUCGGCAAGCACAUAUAGUAAUAUUGACUCGAAAAAUGUUAGCCCAAACAUUCAGCAUUUUUGAGCUUACAAAACAUCAUAGUUGUUGUAAAUAUAUGGAUGUUAUUUAAAUUGUUUAGUUCGUGUUCGCCAUCUUAAUACAUUUCAUUUCGGAAACCGUUUUCCGGAAUCAAGAUUCAUUUUUAGCUGAAUCCUCCGGAACAGCGGAUAAUUGAAGUUGUAGUUAAUAGUGUGCGGAAGUGACUGCGGAUCGAAUUCUCGGCCGUCAACGAAUCCCGAAAACUUAGUCACUGGUGCAGAUCGUGAAGUCCCGAAAAAUAGCGAAGGCCGCAUGUACGGGGAAAAUAUGGAAUCGUGUCUCGCGAUCGAACGUUGGCAACAGUAAGAGGUCUCCUUUACCCCAACUUAGCACGCCAACAACCGUUUGAGAAAUCCGACCUCCCAGAAGCAGCAGGUCCUCCAAGUUGAACUGGCCCUACCCUUAAAUUCUGGACGUGCUUACAUUCCCCGACCCGGUCCUAUCCAGGAUUGCAUCAAUCAUCAUUGCUUCACAGAGGACUAUCAACAUUCAGGUCAACAUCGCAUCCGCUCUAUCACAAGUUCCCGGACAGCAUCGCCCAAUCCCAACAGGCUUCUUCCAGAAACAUUACCGAGUCGGGAAACUAUUCCUGGAGCGGAUACUUCGCAGAUUGAGUCACUGAAAAACCCUCGGAAAAACCAAGCUGAAGAUGAUUAAGAAAACUCCGUCUCAACACCUGCCGAAAAAUAUUCAUUCACGUUUAUGUUAUGUUUGCAAUAAGUAUUGAUUGAUGCACAAAGCGAAAAGAAGAAGUUUUGACAUCCAAGCGGUGUGCCGUCGAUUAGAUCCUCGUUGCUGAUUGGUCGAUGGAUGUAAACGGCACACCGCUUGGAUGUCAAAACUCUUCUUCUUACCGCUUGGUGCAUCAAUCAAUUUUUUAAUCAAAAAAUAAUAAAAUCAUUCUGUUUAUCUAUCUGAGUUUUUUUUUAAACGUAAAUAUGAAGAAGUGACACUACAGACUAUUUAUUUAACCAUGUGCAUAGUAAUUUAAACCGUAUUGCGAUGGUCAAACGUACUAUGCCACUUGUCACACACAUAGUAAAAUGAAUUAUGGAAGCAUUUUCGACAUUACCAUGAAAUGUAAAUAAAGAACAACAUGGUAAAUUGAACUCUUCACAUGGUAGUUUCAAAUAUAAGUUAUGGUCUACGAAAAUCAAGUAGUAAAUACGUUUUAAUUUCACCCUCGAUUUGGUCACCGUUACCAUGUCUCUUUUUUCAGUGUAUGUGGCUCUUCUACAUAGUGUACUGCUAGAGUGCAGUCAGAGUCCAGAGCUACGUUAGGUACGUGGAACGGAGUCGGCAGAACGAAUGGAUCGACAAGGAGUACAGAUUAAUUUUGAAGGAGAAGAACGCAGCUCGAGCCCUAAUGCUGCAGUAUGGAACCCGGUAAUUAGUGGAAAUAUAUA